RNAcentral lists this ribosomal RNA (255 nucleotides) under uncultured bacterium. RNAcentral's name for it is "partial 16S ribosomal RNA". It matches the Rfam family "Bacterial small subunit ribosomal RNA", at positions 524 to 776 of the family's 1533-position model. The record is from RNAcentral.
UACGUAGGGGGGCAAGCGUUUGUCCGGAUUUAUUGGGCGUAAAGAGCGUGUAGGCGGCCUGACAGGUCUGCUGUGAAAACUCGAGGCUCAACCUCGAGAUGUCGGCGGAAACCGUCUGGCUAGAGUCCGGAAGAGGAGAGUGGAAUUCCUGGUGUAGCGGUGAAAUGCGCAGAUAUCAGGAGGAACACCGGUGGCGAAGGCGGUUCUCUGGGAAUUACCUGACGCUGAGGUGCGAAAGCGUGGGGAGCAAACAGG